RNAcentral lists this ribosomal RNA (587 nucleotides) under uncultured bacterium. RNAcentral's name for it is "partial 16S ribosomal RNA". It matches the Rfam family "Bacterial small subunit ribosomal RNA", at positions 355 to 1375 of the family's 1533-position model. The record is from RNAcentral.
UGGGGAAUUUUGGACAAUGGGCGAAAGCCUGAUCCAGCAAUGCCGCGUGUGUGAAGAAGGCCUUCGGGUUGUAAAGCACUUUUGUCCGGAAAAAAUCCUUGGCUCUAAUACAGUCGGGGGAUGACGGUACCGGAAGAAUAAGCACCGGCUAACUACGUGCCAGCAGCCGCGGUAAUACGUAGGGUGCAAGCGUUAAUCGGAAUUACUGGGCGUAAAGCGUGCGCAGGCGGUUUGCUAAGACCGAUGUGAAAUCCCCGGGCUCAACCUGGGAACUGCAUUGGUGACUGGCAGGCUAGAGUAUGGCAGAGGGGGGUAGAAUUCCACGUGUAGCAGUGAAAUGCGUAGAGAUGUGGAGGAAUACCGAUGGCGAAGGCAGCCCCCUGGGCCAAAUACUGACGCUCAUGCACGAAAGCGUGGGGAGCAAAACAGGAUUAGAUACCCUGGUAGUCCACGCCCUAAAACGAUGUCAACUAGUUGUUGGGGAUUCAUUUCCUUAGUAACGUAGCUAACGCGUGAAGUUGACCGCCUGGGGAGUACGGUCGCAAGAUUAAAACUUAAAUGAAUUGACGGGGUCAUAGCUGUUUCCU